GCCCCACCCAUGCUCUUCUAUCAACCUGCUGUCCACACUGCACCUACCUGUGCAGGUGCAUGAUCUUGUGAAGUUCAGAGUCUAGAUCGCCUCUCUCCUUACCAGCUGUUUUGCCCCAAAUAACAAUUGUGUGCAUUUGGCCCAGCUCCCAAGGGCAAGCACUCCAGAAUUCUCCAGAAAACACGUCACGUAAAAUACAGCUGAGCUUCCAAGGCUAGUUAUGAGUUCUCUGGAGGAGUUACGGUCACAUUAUAGCAGCAACUGGAUGCCAGGCCACGACUGCCUCAGUCUCAUUGACACACAGGACAGAAGACGGGGAGGGAGCAACAUUUAUUGAGCACCUGCUGUAUGCCGGGCCCCAUGCUGAGGAGUUACAUGUGUUUUCUCAAUGCUUGCACUAGGUCUGUUCAAUGAGGUGAGUAACGGGGAGGUGGGCCAGGGUCUGCACCUGCAGCCAAUGACCUUGAGUGAACAUGUUUUCUUUUUGAACUUCAGUCCCUCGUCCAUCAAAGGGGCAUGAUAGCACCUGCCCUGUCAUGUGUUUAUGACGAUAGGAGACACUGUGCAUGAAGGACUUUUCCUAGAAGAGGCCUUCUAUCGCUGGUAGCUAUUU
Molecule: long non-coding RNA, 613 nt
Organism: Galeopterus variegatus (Sunda flying lemur)
Lineage: Eukaryota; Metazoa; Chordata; Mammalia; Dermoptera; Cynocephalidae
Exons: 3
Source: RefSeq, a predicted model, not a curated record